RNAcentral lists this ribosomal RNA (459 nucleotides) under uncultured bacterium. RNAcentral's name for it is "partial 16S ribosomal RNA". It matches the Rfam family "Bacterial small subunit ribosomal RNA", at positions 338 to 795 of the family's 1533-position model. The record is from RNAcentral.
CCUACGGGUGGCAGCAGUGAGGAAUAUUGGUCAAUGGGCGCGAGCCUGAACCAGCCAAGUCGCGUGAGGGAAGACGGUCCUAUGGAUUGUAAACCUCUUUUGUCGGGGAGCAAAAGACGCCACGCGUUGCGUUCCGAGAGUACCCGAAGAAAAAGCAUCGGCUAACUCCGUGCCAGCAGCCGCGGUAAUACGGAGGAUGCGAGCGUUAUCCGGAUUUAUUGGGUUAAAGGGGUGCGCAGGCGGAAGAUCAAGUCAGUGGUAAAAUUGAGGGGCUCAACCUCUUCGAGCCGUUGAAACUGGUUUGCUUGAGUGAGAGAGAAGUAUGUGGAAUGCGUUGUGUAGCGGUGAAAUGCAUAGAUAUCACGCAGAACUCCGAUUGCGAAGGCAGCAUACCGGCGCUCAACUGACGCUGAUGCACGAAAGUGUGGGUAUCGAACAGGAUUAGAUACCCUUGUAGUC